CUGUGUGAGGUCCGCUAGGUCCCCGGAGAGCCAGGAGGGCUGCUGUGCCUUCUUGCUGCCUUUCCUCUGUGUUGGAAUAGAUUUAGCUUGUGCAUUGAGGAUCGCUUCCUCAAGGCUACAAUUGCUCUACAAGAAACAGACUGUGCCAAAAAGGCCCAAAGAGACUACCUGUCAAAAUAGUAAUCAGAACAAAGAAGUAAAUGUAGCUGAAACGAUACACUUGAGAGACUCGCUGCCUAACUGUGACCAAUCGCUAAUUAGGUCUCAUCAGGAAGGUCUUGGCUUCACAGAGCAGAUCCUAUCAGUGCAAAAUCUCCAUGAGAAUCCAAUGACGAAUAGCACCGCUCGAAAGCAAUCUACAGACAAAGACAGACUGGCCAUCUCUGAGGUCCUAAGCCCUGCUGAAAAUGGAAGGUCUGAUGCUCUUCUUGAGGCACAGGCUCGGGCAGAAGACACUGAAAUGUCACAGAGUGGAGGUUUUGCUUUUACAUCAGCGAACAGAAAUGUCUCCCCUGAAACAUUUUUUUCAGACUUGAAGAGUAAUCAAAAGCAAUGCUGACUAGAGAAUGGGAGCCCUGGUUAUGACUGGCUUGUGAGGGCCGAACAGCUUUGACAUACGUUAUAUCUACUAGAGAUAUCUCUAACACUUCUGAGAGCUGUCUGGAUUCAUCAUUUUUGAGGGCUACAGUGUAGUGGAGGUAAAAAAAAAAAAAAAAAUGUGUGGUCAUUUUAAGAGGAGGUUGGCAUAAUGUCUCAGGUAUGCUGUGGGCAUUGGGCAUUGCUGUUUACCCCUCUCUUCCCCCUGCUUUCUGUUUGUGCUUGUACAAGUUAUCUCCCUCUGGCUCUACCCCCUUUGCUCACUUCAUUACAAGAGGUGAUCGGUGUUGGAGCUGAGAGAGGACUUGCUGGGCCUGAGCUUGUAGCAUCUGCUGCUGAAGUGGCCAGUGGGGAAGGGUAACUGGCAGGGAGAAUGAGGCUUUUCACCUGUUCAGGGAGAGAGAAAAGUGAAGAGGCAAGUAUCAUUUUGAAUGGUAGCAAGAAAGGGCACUAGUCCCAAAAGGUGAAGGGGUGGGAUUGGUUUUAUGGAGACUGGAUGAAUGUUCACCAGGAAGAACAUUCGACCUUCAAGAAACAUGUUGUGUCACCUUGUCUGUUUUUUCAUUACUUGUGUGUCAAACCAUUUUAAACAAAAGAAUUAGUUCUUCAUAAUUACAGCUAACAUUGAAAAAAGCACAGUUUGAGAAAAGCCUUGGGUUAACAUCUUUCUCAAAGCCACUCUUGCAAGAAAGUGGAUGAUCCUUUGAGUUGUGCCUUAAAUGAUUCCCCAUUUUUUCAAAUAGUUUCAGGUGUAGUUAUUGAAAAAACAACAAAACUUUCUGAUGAGCUUUGGUUAUUGACCCAUUUUAAUGGAUUCUGAAUUUGGUGUUCCAGUUGACUUUUAAGAUAAAUCUUUUAUUUUGAAAAUGCAUAGUUAAGUAUAUUUUGCACAAAGGAAAAGGAUACAUGUGCAAUGCGCUAGAUGUGGAAAUAUAUAUUUAAUUUAUACAGAGGAGUUUAGCUAACUGACUUUAAUUUUUAUUCCUUGCAUGAACUGAAGUGAAGUGGUCUGAAGGGGAAGGCAGUUAUUUAAUGAUUCAGUUCUUUUUAUGUGAAUUGUAAGAAAGUAAGCUAAUGAUAAAACCUAUAAAUAAAGUUCCUAUUUCAUAAAUGAAGAAGAGGGGG
This is a long non-coding RNA of Crocodylus porosus (Australian saltwater crocodile), 1722 nucleotides long. NCBI's taxonomy places the organism in Eukaryota, Metazoa, Chordata, Crocodylia, Crocodylidae. The record is from Ensembl.